CACGUAGGGCGCGAGCGUUGUCCGGAAUUAUUGGGCGUAAAGAGCUCGUAGGCGGCCUGUUGCGUCCGCUGUGAAAGCCCCGGGGCUUAACCCCGGGUCUGCAUUCGAUACGGGCUAGCUAGAGUGUGGUAGGGGAGAUCGGAAUUCCUGGUGUAGCGGUGAAAUGCGCAGAUAUCAGGAAGAACACCCGUGGCGAAAGCGGCUCUCUGGAACGGUACUGACGCUGAGACGCGAAAGCGUGGGGAGCGAACAGG
Molecule: ribosomal RNA, 254 nt
Filed under: uncultured bacterium
Lineage: Bacteria
Description: partial 16S ribosomal RNA
Rfam family: Bacterial small subunit ribosomal RNA
Source: RNAcentral